GACGAACGCUGGCGGCACGCCUAACACAUGCAAGUCGAACGGACUUACAAGAGCUUGCUUUUGUAAGUUAGUGGCGGACGGGUGAGUAACACGUGAGCAACCUGCCUCUGAGAGGGGGAUAGCUUCUGGAAACGGAUGGUAAUACCCCAUAAAAUAUAAAUAUCGCAUGAUAGGUAUAUCAAAGAAAUUCGCUCAGAGAUGGGCUCGCGACUGAUUAGCUAGUUGGUGAGGUAACGGCUUACCAAGUCGACGAUAAGUAGCCGGACUGAAAGGUUGAACGGCCGGAUUGGGAAUGUGGCACGGCGCCGCCACCUAGGGAAGGCAGAAGUGGGGAGUAUUGCACAAUGGAGGGAACUCUAAUGCAGCGGUGCAGGGUGGAGGAAGAAUGUUUUUGGAUUGCACACUCAUUUUAUCAGACGCGCGAAUGACGGUACCUGAAGAAAAAGCUCCGGCUAACUACGUG
Molecule: ribosomal RNA, 463 nt
Filed under: uncultured bacterium
Lineage: Bacteria
Description: partial 16S ribosomal RNA
Rfam family: Bacterial small subunit ribosomal RNA
Source: RNAcentral